GACGAACCGAGCAAUCGUUAUUCGGAAUCACUGGGCUUAAAGGGCGCGUAGGCGGGCAUCCAAGUCUGUGGUGAAAUCCGGCAGCUCAACUGUCGAACUGCCGUGGAUACUGGGUGUCUCGAGGGAGGUAGGGGCGUGCGGAACUAUUGGUGGAGCGGUGAAAUGCGUUGAUAUCAAUAGGAACUCCGGUGGCGAAGGCGGCACGCUGGACCUCUUCUGACGCUGAGGCGCGAAAGCCAGGGGAGCAAACGGG
This 253-nucleotide ribosomal RNA is filed under the name uncultured bacterium. Its description in RNAcentral is "partial 16S ribosomal RNA". It matches the Rfam family "Bacterial small subunit ribosomal RNA", at positions 524 to 776 of the family's 1533-position model. The record is from RNAcentral.